AAACCAACCGGGAUUGCCUUAGUAGCGGCGAGUGAAGCGGCAAGAGCUCAAAUUUGAAAUCUAGCGCCUUCGGUGCUCGAGUUGUAAUUUGUAGAGUGGAUCCUUGGGGCCGUUCCUUGCCUAUGUUCCUUGGAACAGGACGUCAUGGAGGGUGAGAACCCCGUGUGGCGAGGGGUGCGGUUCCGUGUAAGGGCUGCUCGAAGAGUCGAGUUGUUUGGGAAUGCAGCUCUAAGUGGGUGGUAAAUUCCAUCUAAAGCUAAAUACUGGCGAGAGACCGAUAGCUAACAAGUACAGUGAUGGAAAGAUGAAAAGAACUUUGAAAAGAGAGUGAAAAAGUACGUGAAAUUGUUGAAAGGGAAGGGCAUUUGAUCAGACAUGGUGUUUUGCGCCCCCUGCUCCUUGUGGGUGGGGGACUCUCGCAGCUCACUGGGCCAGCAUCAGUUUUGGCGGCUGGACAAAGCCGGAGGAAUGUGGCUUCCCUCGGGAAGUGUUAUAGCCUACGGGAAUACAGCCAGCUGGGACUGAGGAACGCGACUUUUGUCAAGGAUGCUGGCAUAAUGGUUAUAUGCCGC
Molecule: ribosomal RNA, 572 nt
Filed under: Arxiozyma heterogenica
Lineage: Eukaryota; Fungi; Ascomycota; Saccharomycetes; Saccharomycetales; Saccharomycetaceae
Description: eukaryotic LSU rRNA
Rfam family: Eukaryotic large subunit ribosomal RNA
Source: RNAcentral